RNAcentral lists this long non-coding RNA (297 nucleotides) under Hordeum vulgare. Its description in RNAcentral is "long non-coding RNA (HVUL_LNC002260)". The record is from RNAcentral. Lineage: Eukaryota; Viridiplantae; Streptophyta; Magnoliopsida; Poales; Poaceae.
UGAUAAUUGAUGAAUUAAUCGCAUUACAUUUAUUUGCAAUUUGGACGAUUAUGCGAGCAGAUGGUUCGAACAUGAAACCAUAACUGCAUACUGCUCUCCCAACCACUCACGUCGUUCUCAUUUCUGGCAUUUUCUCAAUUUUUGUAUUGUUUCUUAUGCCAGUGAAGGAUUGUCAGAGGGAGCUGCACACCCAGCCAGGAUUCUGGUUUGUACACACGAUAUAGCAUAUUGGACUCUAGGAUUUAAUGUUUUUCAACAUAUAGUGGCCAAGGCCUUGUGAUCACAACUUGGGUCCUU